Molecule: long non-coding RNA, 1389 nt
Organism: Cucumis melo (muskmelon)
Lineage: Eukaryota; Viridiplantae; Streptophyta; Magnoliopsida; Cucurbitales; Cucurbitaceae
Exons: 3
Source: RefSeq, a predicted model, not a curated record
GAAACCUGUAGAGUUCAUCAACAUCAUUGGUGCAGUAAUGCAAUGAACAUUCCUAGAUAUUAAGACAAAGAAAGGGCACGUGACAUAUGAUCAUUGUCCUAAAACUUUGAGGAUUCAUUCCCUACUAGCCUUUGGCUUUUGCACAGACCAGUUUGUUGCAACUUUCCUAAAAUUCAUUCCCUACAAACCUUCUUAAAAAGUUCAUUUUGACAGCGAUCUCUUUAGGGCAUACGGUAAUCGUACAGUAACACUCAUCAGAGCUCAAUUAUUUGACAUCACAUGCCGGGAUAACCCGAGCUUGCUUUGUGCCGAGUUCUGUGAACAGAAAGAUCUUAAAUUGGAUUGAAUCCUUGGGGCAAAGAAUUUGCAUCGAUACAUAAAGGUUGCAUGUGGGAAGUCUCGGUCCCCACGGAAAAUGUCGAUACAGAAACGAUAGAAGGACAGGGCUCGUAAAAGCCACCCAUCACUGUGCUUCUAUUGUGGAAAAGCAGAAAAUCCAACAAAGCUGGCAAAAAAACUAGUAGAAAGAGACAGAGAGAUUUCUUGCAAUGGAGGACUGCCUCAUAGAUUGAGCUCUCAGAAUCACAGGAUCUUCGCCAAUCAUCGGCAGAGUAAGCUACGCUUAUCCGCGGCGAUGCUUCAUAUGAAUAUUCCCAAUUCUUCAUAGAUUUGGAUCUUCUACCAACAUUUUCUGGUUUAGAACUUGAUGCUCUAUGACCUCGUAUUCUUUGGUACAAUGGCUUGAAAAAACUCAAAUACUUUUGCAACACUUUCUUCGAUAGUUUCCGACACUUUCUCAUUGACGAGCAGUCAGAAGUAUUGGCUGGAUGGACGUCGUUUUCUAUAUGGGAAGAUUUUGGAAGAUUUGGAUUGAAAUCUUCAUCCUCGUAUUUCUGAACUUUCACUGGAUCAAUGAAAAAAGGCACAAGACAACCAUUGGAAAUCAGCUGAUCAGCAUGUACAAAUGUGAGAGAAGGCGGCGAGACAGGGAAAUCAAAUUUAAAAUCUUGAGAGUUCCUAAAAAAUCUCUUGGAGGGUGGCAUUCUUGGGUCCAUCUCGAUGAAGGAGGAAGCAGCUUCAUCGGAAGCAUCAAGUGAAGUCCUAAAGGAAUUGUUGCCUGAGCUCUCUAGAGAUGGCUUUAUAUUCACUAACCAACUAUAUGAAAAGCUGUCAAUUGAAAGAGGCUGGGAUGUCUCCAUUUCCAGCAGCUUUGCUUUAUUUCAAUAUAUUUGUGCAGAACACAACUUCAAAGAAUAUUAUUAGCUACUGAAAUCUCUCUUCUUUAUAGAACAUAUCCACAGGGGCUUUGUGGUUCACAUACACACAUAUAUACACAUCUGUGUGUGUGUGUAUAUAUAUGAAAAACCUCAAUCUCCUCUCUCUCUCUAA